UACGGAAGGCAGCAGUGGGGAAUAUUGCACAAUGGGCGCAAGCCUGAUGCAGCCAUGCCGCGUGUAUGAAGAAGGCCUUCGGGUUGUAAAGUACUUUCAGUCGUGAGGAAGGUGUUAAGGUUAAUAACCUUAGCAAUUGACGUUAGCGACAGAAGAAGCACCGGCUAACUCCGUGCCAGCAGCCGCGGUAAUACGGAGGGUGCGAGCGUUAAUCGGAAUUACUGGGCGUAAAGGGCACGCAGGCGGUUAAUUAAGUUGGAUGUGAAAUCCCCGGGCUUAACCUGGGAAUGGCAUUCAAGCUGGUUAGCUAGAGUCUUGUAGAGGGGGUAGAAUUCCAUGUGUAGCGGUGAAAUGCGUAGAGAUGUGGAGGAAUACCGGUGGCGAAGGCGGCCCCCUGGACAAAGACUGACGCUCAUGUGCGAAAGCGUGGGGAGCAAACAGGGAUUAGAUACC
RNAcentral lists this ribosomal RNA (453 nucleotides) under uncultured bacterium. RNAcentral's name for it is "bacterial SSU rRNA". It matches the Rfam family "Bacterial small subunit ribosomal RNA", at positions 340 to 786 of the family's 1533-position model. The record is from RNAcentral.